This 558-nucleotide long non-coding RNA is filed under the name Gigantopelta aegis. RNAcentral's name for it is "uncharacterized LOC121389300, transcript variant X1". The record is from RNAcentral. Lineage: Eukaryota; Metazoa; Mollusca; Gastropoda; Neomphalida; Peltospiridae.
AGGUGGAGUAUAUAAUCAUAUCAAGUCAUUGAAACACGUCAAGUAUGAAAACGAAACAGAACUGUCCAAGUACAUAUGGGAGCUGAAGCGGAAGGAACACUAAAAGGUGGAGUAUAUAAUCAUAUCAAGUCAUUCAAACACGUCAAGUAUGAAAACGAAACAGAACUGUCCAAGUACAUAUGGGAGCUGAAGCGGAAGGAAGCCCAGUACACCAUAAGCUGGAGGAUAAUAAAGGAACCAAACACUAAAAGGUGGAGUAUAUAAUCAUAUCAAGUCAUUCAAACACGUCAAGUAUGAAAACGAAACAGAACUGUCCAAGUACAUAUGGGAGCUGAAGCGGAAGGAAGCCCAGUACACCAUAAGCUGGAGGAUAAUAAAGGAACCAAACACUAAAAGGUGGAGUAUAUAAUCAUAUCAAGUCAUUCAAACACGUCAAGUAUGAAAACGAAACAGAACUGUCCAAGUACAUAUGGGAGCUGAAGCGGAAGGAACACUAAAAGGUGGAGUAUAUAAUCAUAUCAAGUCAUUCAAACACGUCAAGUAUGAAAACGAAACAGA